This is a non-coding RNA of Cyanistes caeruleus (blue tit), 981 nucleotides long. Lineage: Eukaryota; Metazoa; Chordata; Aves; Passeriformes; Paridae. The record is from RefSeq and is a predicted model, not a curated record.
UGAAAGUUGCCCCCUCUGACCUUAAUCACUUGGGUCUUGAUUUGGUUGUCUCUUUCGCCUGUGAUUGAAGGUAAAACUGUCCACUUCUGCUGUCCAAGGAAAAGGAGCUCGCACAUUCUGGUAUGGAAAUAGCAGAGAUUCUCAAAUUUUGAGCUCAAGUAACAUCUCCCAGGCAUCUCCAUCCUGGCUACCUGGCUACCAUGCAGCGGCCUUGAAGCCUGUGCAAAGGAAACACAGGCUAUUUGAAUUAACUAUCCUCCACUCUGGAUGAACAAAGGCAGCAUUCAUGAUCCUUCAUUUCAUGGAAGAAAAUACAUCACCUUUUUGAUCAGAAAGACUGGACACUGUUCUGAAGAAAACAUUUUCUAGGACCUUUGCCACUGUUUUCCUGGUGACAACAGUCUGAGCCUCUUUCCUCAGGUGAUGCAAAGAUGAUUUGUGAUGAUGAAUCCCUCCGUGAAGGCAUUAAGACUUUCUGCAUCUGCAGGAAUGAGGAAUGUUAGUUUAUGUGUAUGGCUGGAAAUUACAGUAUUACAAAUUGUCUAGGAGUUCAUAUUUAUUAAACAAGACAAUAACAAACCAAAUAUGCAAUUUUGUGACAAUGCUGUCACACUGCAAAUCACAGUGGAGCUUCUUAACAGCAAAAAACACAGCAAUUGCUGUAUCCCUUCUUAAGCCAGCAAUCCUAAAAUGCACAAGGUCUGGACAUGUCACUCAGAAGUUCUCAUGCAGCUGCACAAAUGAGGAGAAAUACAGAAGACUAAUGAGAAAACAAAUCUGCUCUACACUGCCAUAUACUACAGAAACCGAGAGGUUGUUCAAGACUUAUCACUCUAGGGAAAAUAAUAAGCAAACCUUACAAGAAGUACUAUUGGGGUAACAAUUAAGAUGUAUUUCUGUUCUUUUUCCUAAACAGAAAUGUUGGUUUGGUGCACACAUUCUUUUUUUUCCCUUUGAAUCAUAAUCUUUAAUCACAUUAAC